RNAcentral lists this ribosomal RNA (441 nucleotides) under uncultured bacterium. Its description in RNAcentral is "partial 16S ribosomal RNA". It matches the Rfam family "Bacterial small subunit ribosomal RNA", at positions 338 to 795 of the family's 1533-position model. The record is from RNAcentral.
CCUACGGGAGGCAGCAGUGGGGAAUAUUGCGCAAUGGGGGAAACCCUGAUGCAGCAACGCCGCGUGAAGGAAGACGGUUUUCGGAUUGUAAACCUCUGUUCUUAGGGAAGAAUAAUGACGGUAGCUAAUGAGCAAGCCACGGCUGACUACGAGCCAGGAGCCGCGGUAAUCCGUAGGUGAGAAGCGUUGUCCGGACUUAGUGGGUGUAAAGGGAGCGUAGACGGUAGUGCAAGUGCGGAGUGAAAGGCGGGGGCUCAACCCACGGACGGCACUGGAAAUUGUACGGCUUGAGUGCAGGAGAGGUAAGUGGAAUUCCUAGUGUAGCGGUGAAAUGCGUAGAUAUUAGGAGGAACACCAGUGGCGAAGGUGGCUUACUGGACUGUAACUGACGUUGAGGCUCGAAAGCGUGGGGAGCAAACAGGAUUAGAUACCCGAGUAGUC